Acanthosepion pharaonis is the source of this 106-nucleotide non-coding RNA. The record is from the annotation of a GenBank genome assembly. NCBI's taxonomy places the organism in Eukaryota, Metazoa, Mollusca, Cephalopoda, Sepiida, Sepiidae.
AUAUGAAGUUGAAACACCAGUUCCAAUACGGUCUCCGGAGUUAAGUAACGUUGGGCCUGGUCAGCAUCUAGAUGGGUGACCGCUUAGGAAUACCAGAUGACGUAAG